RNAcentral lists this ribosomal RNA (699 nucleotides) under uncultured bacterium. Its description in RNAcentral is "bacterial SSU rRNA". It matches the Rfam family "Bacterial small subunit ribosomal RNA", at positions 1 to 731 of the family's 1533-position model. The record is from RNAcentral.
AGGAGUUUGGGAUCCUGGCUCAGAAUCAACGCUGGCGGCGUGCCUAACACAUGCAAGUCGAACGCGAAAGAAUUCUUCGGAAAUUGAGUAGAGUGGCGAACGGGUGAGUAACGCGUGGGUCACCUGCCCCGAGAUGGGGGAUAACCCGGGGAAACCCGGGCUAAUACCGCAUAAGCCUUACGAGGGAAAGCCUUAGGGUGUCUUGGGAGGGGCCUGCGUCCGAUUAGCUAGUAGGUGAGGUAAGAGCUCACCUAGGCGUCGAUCGGUAACCGGUCUGAGAGGACGGACGGUCACACUGGGACUGAGACACGGCCCAGACUCCUACGGGAGGCAGCAGUGGGGAAUUUUGCGCAAUGGGGGAAACCCUGACGCAGCAACGCCGCGUGGAGGAAGAAGGUUUUCGAAUCGUAAACUCCUGUCCGGAAGGAAGAAAAAAAUGACGGUACUUCUGGAGGAAGCCCCGGCUAACUCCGUGCCAGCAGCCGCGGUAAUACGGGGGGGGCGAGCGUUGUUCGGAUUUACUGGGCGUAAAGGGCGCGUAGGCGGUGAGAGAAGUUUUGGGUGAAAGCCCCCGGCUCAACCGGGGAAGUGCCUGGAAAACCAUCUGACUGGAGUGCUGGAGAGGCAAGCGGAAUUUCUGGUGUAGCGGUGAAAUGCGUAGAUAUCAGAAGGAACAUCGGAGGCGAAGGCGGCUUGCUG